AGUGAACGCUGGCGGUAGGCCUAACACAUGCAAGUCGAACGGCAGCACAGUAAGAGCUUGCUCUUACGGGUGGCGAGUGGCGGACGGGUGAGGAAUACAUCGGCAUCUACUUUUUCGUGGGUGAUUACGUAGGACCACUUACGCUACUACCUCACACGACCUACGGCUGAAAGCAGCGGAUCUUCGCGCCUUUCCCGUCUGUUUGAGCCGAUGUCGCAUUAGCUAGUUGGCGGGGUAAAGGCCCACCAAGGCGACGAUACGUAGCUGAUCUGAGAGGAUGAUCAGCCACACUGGAACUGAGACACGGUCCAGACUCCUACGGGAGGCAGCAGUAGGGAAUAUUGGGCAAUGGGCGAAAGCCUGACGGAGCAAUACCGCGUGAGUGAAGAAGGUCUUCGGGUUGUAAAGCUCUGUUGUUGGGAAAGAAAAGAAGCAGGUGAAAACACCGAUGUUUUGACGGUACCCAAAGAAUAAGCACCGGCUAACUACGUG
RNAcentral lists this ribosomal RNA (492 nucleotides) under uncultured bacterium. RNAcentral's name for it is "partial 16S ribosomal RNA". It matches the Rfam family "Bacterial small subunit ribosomal RNA", at positions 29 to 507 of the family's 1533-position model. The record is from RNAcentral.